RNAcentral lists this ribosomal RNA (253 nucleotides) under uncultured bacterium. RNAcentral's name for it is "partial 16S ribosomal RNA". It matches the Rfam family "Bacterial small subunit ribosomal RNA", at positions 524 to 776 of the family's 1533-position model. The record is from RNAcentral.
UACGUAGGGGGCGAGCGUUGUCCGGAGUUACUGGGCGUAAAGCGCACGCAGGCGGUCUGCUAAGUUUGGAGUGACAGUUGGUGGCUUAACUGCCAAAGUGCUUCGAAAACUGACAGACUUGAGGGCAUCAGAGGGACACGGAAUUCCGGGUGGAGUGGUGAAAUGCGUAGAGAUCCGGAGGAACACCAAAGGCGAAGGCAGUGUCCUGGGGAGUACCUGACGCUCAGGUGCGAAAGCCAGGGGAGCGAACGGG